RNAcentral lists this ribosomal RNA (357 nucleotides) under Paenibacillus polymyxa. RNAcentral describes it as "bacterial SSU rRNA". It matches the Rfam family "Bacterial small subunit ribosomal RNA", at positions 401 to 754 of the family's 1533-position model. Lineage: Bacteria; Bacillati; Bacillota; Bacilli; Caryophanales; Paenibacillaceae. The record is from RNAcentral.
GAGUGAUGAAGGUUUUCGGAUCGUAAAGCUCUGUUGCCAGGGAAGAACGUUUUGUAGAGUAACUGCUCUUGAGUGACGGUACCUGAGAAGAAAGCCCCGGCUAACUACGUGCCAGCAGCCGCGGUAAUACGUAGGGGGCAAGCGUUGUCCGGAAUUAUUGGGCGUAAAGCGCGCGCAGGCGGCUCUUUAAGUCUGGUGUUUAAUCCCGAGGCUCAACUUCGGGUCGCACUGGAAACUGGGGAGCUUGAGUGCAGAAGAGGAGAGUGGAAUUCCACGUGUAGCGGNGAAAUGCGUAGAGAUGUGGAGGAACACCAGUGGCGAAGGCGACUCUCUGGGCUGUAACUGACGCUGAGGCGC